CCUAGGAAGUUCAAGAUCAGCCUGGGCAACAUGGUGAGACCCUGUUUCAACAACAACAACAACAAAAAGCCUGGCUUGGUGAUGUGAACCUGUGGUCUCAGAUAUUUGGGAGGCUGAAGUGGGAGGAUUGCUUGAGCCUGAGAGGUCAAGGUUGCAGUGAGCCAUAAUCAUACCACUGCACUCCAAUCUGGCUGAUAGAGCAAGACCCUGCCUUAAAAAAAAAAAAAAGGAAUUAUAUUUUAAAAGGCCCAAAUUGAGCUUUUAGGGAUGAAAACUACAAUGUCUGGGAUAAAAAUUAUGCUGAUGAGAUUAAUGGCAGAUUAGACAUAGCAGAAGAAAUGAUCAGUGAAUUCGAAGACAUGGACAUAGAAAUUAUUUAAGAUGAAACAGAGAGGAAAAAGGAAUUUAAAAAUGUAUUUUAAAAAGGAAAGGAAAAGAGCAUCAGUGAGCUGCUGGAUACCUUCAAGAGUGGAGAGAAAAAAAACUGUUAACCUAGAAUUGUAUUCCCAGCAAAAAUGUCUUUCAAAAACAAAGGUGCAGUUAUGGGAGCCUGAGGUGGAUGAUUGCUUAAAGCAAUCAGUUUGAAGUUGUAAUGAGCUAUUAUCGUGCCUGUGGAGAGCCACUGUACCCCAGGCUGGGCAACAUAGCAGUAUCUUGCACUUUAAAGAAACUUUUUUUUUUUUUUAAUUUAAAAAAAGGCAAACACUUUUUCAGAAUUUAUCACCACAGACCUGCACCACAAGAAAUGCCAAAGAAAGCCCUGUGGACAGAAGGUAUAUAUCUGAGAACAAAUUAUUUACAUGUACUGUAUUCAAAUUUUCAGUGGCCUUACAGAUUUCUUUUUCUUUUUCUCCUUCAUCUAUCAGUUACUGAGAGAAAUGUUUUAAAAUUCGUUACUGUGGUGGUAGAUUUGUCCAUUUAUAGCUGUGAUUUCAUGAGCUUUUGUUUUAAUUUGAGAUUAUAUUAUAUUCAGACAAGUUUAUUUUUCUGGUGAAUUGAGCCUUAUUAGUAGUGACCACACUUAAAGUUUAUUUUGUUUGAGACCGCCACACAAACUUUGUUUGGUAUUUGUAUGAUAUAUAUUUUUUCACUACUAUACUUUCAACCUUUCUGUAGUAUAUACAUACAUUUUAAAAAUCCAAUCAGAUAACCUUUGUCUUUUAAUUACAGCAUUUAGUCCACUAUGUUUAUGGUAAUGAUAAAUUGUGAACAUUCUGUUUAUUAUACAUUCUAUUUUUAUGUUGCUUCUUGCUUUUAUUUGAAGUAUCACUUUUCUCAUCUUAUUUUAAUAUUCUGCUAGUUUUGGAAGUUAUAUACAGAUUGUCCUAGACUUACGAUGGUUUGACUAAAUGAUUUUGCAACUUUACAAUGGUGCAAAAACAAUACUUUCAGCAGAAGCCAUACUUGUGCAUACCCAUGCAACCAUUCUGUUUCUCAUUUUCAAUACAGUAUUCAAUAAAUUACAUAAGCUAUUCAACACUUUAUUAUAAAACAAAUGUUAGAUGAUUUUUUCCAACUUUAGGCUAAUAUAAGCAUUUUGAGCAUGUUUAAGGUGGCCUAGAUUAAGCUGUGAUGUUUGGUAGGUUAGGUAUAUUAAAUGCGUUUUCAACUUAUGAUAUUUUUAACUUUCAAUGGAUCUAUUAUGACACAACCUCAUCAUAAGUCCAGGAGCAUCUGUACUUUAUGCUGUUUUUUAAAAUUUUAUUUUAAUUUUUUAGUGGAUACUCUCCAGGAAUUUACACCAUGUAUCCUUAAUUUAUUAAAGUCUAUAGUUAAUCAUAUUUACCCUUUUCCCAAACUGGAACCUAAAAAUAAUUAAAUUCCAUUUUAGACCAUACACUCCUUUCUAAAAGGUGGCAUCUGCUGCUGAGUUCUGGUCCAAGACUGCCAAUCAAAAAUGCAGGCUCAGAAGGGUCUAUUACAUCCUUGGAUUUUUAAGUGUUGACCAGAAAUGUGUGAGCAAAACAAAAAUAUGUUGACAGUUCGGCAGUUAUAAGCCUCUUUUAGGCCUAAGAAAGAGAAUAUUUUAUGAUGGCUUUCCCCAGUAGUGGUUGCUACUGUUAUCAUGCAGAAAGCCUAACUGUACUUCCUGUCACAUGUGGGGUGCUUUCUCCCCUGUUAAAUAAGAGAAGUAAAAACUUCUAGUAGCCUCAGCUUGCCACUUCAGAAAAUUAUACCAUGUAUCCUUAACUUAUUAAUGUCUAAAGUUAAUCAUUUUUUUUAACCUCAUCCUAAACAAGGACAUAAAAACUCUUCAAUUCCAAUCUCCCAUGGAGGAGUACAAGCCCCUUCUAAGGUGGCAGCAGUGAGUUAGUUUCAGUCCACCAUUGACAACCAGGAAUGUAAGCCCAGUACUUGAUAUAAAAUCUCCUGUUUUGUUUUGCCUUUGUCUUUGUCAAUGUGUUGUUGGCCAAAUGAAUUGUUUGCAAACCAGAAAUGGCUGGCAAUCAACCAGUUUUUAGCUUUUGCUAGGAGCAAGUAGAAUUAAUUAUGAUAUCCAUCUAUUUACUUCAUUCAUUCAUUUAAUAAAUGUUUGUUGAGCCCCCACAACUGUCCUGCAAUUGUCCUGUAAUCCUUUGUUUUGUUUUAACUACUUGAUGAAGAGUGCCCCCAAAUGUUUGACAGAUUGUCUUUAGAGGAAACUGUCUUCAUUCCAGGGCUUAAAGAAUUUCCCAGGAGAGAAGUUAACAUAUCACCAUCUGGUUCUAUCAGAUUUACCAUAAUAUUUACCAUUUUCUUGUUCCCUACCUCUUAAAUUUAAGUUCUUCUGUCUGGGUUGACUUUCCUACCUGAAGUACAUCCUUUAUAAUGUUCUUCAGUAGGAGUUUUCAGAUUACAGAUUUUAAACCUUUGCUUGUUUGAAAAUCCUUUAAGUUCUCAUUGUGGAAAUUUUCUGAGUAUAGAAAUGUAGAUUGAACAGUAGUUUUUUUUCAGCUUAUUGAAAUACCAUUUACUUUAUUCUCACUUCUAUAUCGAUUGCUAAGAAGACAGCUGUCCAUCUAAUUGAGCUGCUUUCUCUUAGGCUGCAUUUAAGACCUUUUGGUCAUCUGUGCUCUGUAGAUGCUUAAUGAUAUGUUUAGGUAUGGAUUUCUGUUUAUUAUUCUGUUUGAGUUAUUAAAGCUUUUGAAUCUGUCAAAUGGUGACUUUCUGGAACAUUCACAGCCACUAUGUAUUCAAAUACAGCUUCUGCUCCAUUUUUUUCUUUUUAAAACUAAGUUCAUGUUAGACUUUUUUUACUGUAUCCUCUAUGACUCUUAACCUUUUUUUCUUAUUCACUCUGGGAUAUAUAUUCUGCAUAACUUAAUUGUUUUGAUAUGUUCUCUUUAGCUAUAUUGAAUCUGCUGUUAACUGUAUCCACAAAAUUUUAAAAAUUUACAAUUAUUACAUUUUUCAUUGUAGAUGUUCUCCUUUUUUCUUCAACUUCAUAAUUUACUCAUUAUCAAGCUUGUCUUUUAUUUAUUGAAGCAUAUUAAGCAAAAUUAUUUUAUGUCUGAAUAUGCCAAUGUCUAAAGUUUUCUCAGGUUCAUUCUGCUAUCUGUGGUUUCUGCAAUCAAAUGCUUUACC
This is a long non-coding RNA of Sapajus apella (tufted capuchin), 3564 nucleotides long. RefSeq lists it as uncharacterized. The record is from RefSeq and is a predicted model, not a curated record. The transcript has 3 exons. Lineage: Eukaryota; Metazoa; Chordata; Mammalia; Primates; Cebidae.